GACGAACGCUGGCGGCGUGCUUAACACAUGCAAGUCGAACGGAAAGGCCCUGCUUUUGUGGGGUGCUCGAGUGGCGAACGGGUGAGUAACACGUGAGUAACCUGCCCUUGACUUUGGGAUAACUUCAGGAAACUGGGGCUAAUACCGGAUAGGAGCUCCUGCUGCAUGGUGGGGGUUGGAAAGUUUCGGCGGUUGGGGAUGGACUCGCGGCUUAUCAGCUUGUUGGUGGGGUAGUGGCUUACCAAGGCUUUGACGGGUAGCCGGCCUGAGAGGGUGACCGGCCACAUUGGGACUGAGAUCCGGCCCAGACUCCUGCGGGAGGCAGCAGUGGGGAAUAUUGCACAAUGGGCGGAAGCCUGAUGCAGCAACGCCGCGUGCGGGAUGACGGCCUUCGAGUUGUAAACCGCUUUCGCCUGUGACGAAGCGUGAGUGACGGUAAUGGGUAAAGAAGCACCGGCUAACUACGUG
Molecule: ribosomal RNA, 468 nt
Filed under: uncultured bacterium
Lineage: Bacteria
Description: partial 16S ribosomal RNA
Rfam family: Bacterial small subunit ribosomal RNA
Source: RNAcentral